This 1466-nucleotide long non-coding RNA is filed under the name Felis catus (domestic cat). RNAcentral describes it as "lncRNA (ENSFCAG00000050583.1)". The record is from RNAcentral. Lineage: Eukaryota; Metazoa; Chordata; Mammalia; Carnivora; Felidae.
AUGGUAAUCCCAUGUGGCUGUCACGGCUCCUCCCCAAGAAGGCUGUGGGCACCCAUACUCCUUGCUCUCUGCUUCUUUUCCAGGGGAACCUCCCACCAGAGUCUGGGUGCAAGGCUGGCUGUGGCCUGUGUGCUUUGCCCUGCAGGUCACCACUGCCCUGAGCCAGGCACUGCUACUCCACAGCCCUGUGGUGCUGGAAGCUUCUCUGGUCCAGGCCAUCUCUGGUGCCAAAAGUGCUCAGGAGGAAAGCUCUGCAAUCAGACAAAACUGGCCCGCCCUAUAGCAUGUCCACCUGGGCACUACUGCCCAGCCCCAGGCCUGCUGACCAUCCCUUGUCCCAUGGUAAGAAGAUCCCCUCAGCCCUCCUGGCAUCUCUUCACCUGUGCCUACAAAGGCUCUGGAGCCACCGGCCCUGUACCGGUGGUUGGGGUGGAGGACACUCCUUCACUGUGACACGGCCACACGCCAGCCGUCUGCCUCCUGCCCCACUCUGAUGAGGAGCACUGGACCACUCCCUUUCUCAAAGCUGAUUUCUGAUAGUGGUGUUAGACCAGAGGUCACAAGGGGCAAAGCAACCCAGGCUUGUGGAAGAGGGAGGGAUGCAGGGAGAGGGAGGGAGAGGCUCGGGAGCUGAAAGAUAGAGACUCAGGUGGAGCUGCCAGCAGGGAGGGGCUGGGGGGGGCACCCUUUGUUCUCCAGGCUCCAGAACCCUCCAAUCUCCCCCACCCCCCACUGUAGCCAUGGCUUCUUCUCCCCAAGAUAUACGCACCUCUUCAAAUGAUCUGAUGUCCUCUAUUCUCUCUUGCUGCCUGCUUUUGAAAUCUGCUGUGAAUUAAUCACAUUCCUCACUGGGUGGGUGUUUUGCCAUCAAACACUGUUGGUCUAUCAAAAAGUAAGUCCCUCUCAUUCGUGUGUGUGUUCUGGAGGCUCAUUCUUCAAGCAGGCCAUUUCCUCCUCCCCAGCCCUGUCAUGUCCAGGGUGAGGGUGGAGGGGCCCCGCUCUGUUCCCUUCCUAGCAGAGCAGCCAGGCUACCCAGGUCUGGAACCCCAUUCUGGCCUCCAGGUCCUUGAUGUCAGUUCAACGUUCUCUGUUCAGGGCACUUUCCGAGAGGCCCCUGGGGCAGCACGUGUGGAAGACUGCCAACUGUGCCGCCCUGGGGCCUUCUGUGGCAGAACAGGCCUGACUGAGCCCCAGGGGCUAUGCAGUCCUGGGCACCACUGUGGGCCUGGUUCCAACACCUCCUCUCCGGUGAGUGCAGGCCCUCCUGGGCCUAAGGGAGGCAAGGCUGGCCUGAGCUCAGAGGCCUGGGCUGGAGUCAGGGGACACCAGUACCUACCUUUAGGGCUCACGGCCUCUUGGGGUAACAGAGCAAAAAAUGGUGGGACGUUGCAGAGACAGAGCCAGUAAAACUGCAACCAUUAAACAUGGCCAAUAAAAAUGUGGAAGGGCCAAAGUAUUUAAUAUCA